CAGGCCUAACACAUGCAAGUCGAACGGUAGCACAGAGGGGCUUGCUCCUUGGGUGACGAGUGGCGGACGGGUGAGUAAUGUCUGGGAAACUGCCCGAUGGAGGGGGAUAACUACUGGAAACGGUAGCUAAUACCGCAUAACGUCUUCGGACCAAAGUGGGGGACCUUCGGGCCUCACACCAUCGGAUGUGCCCAGAUGGGAUUAGCUAGUAGGUGGGGUGAUGGCUCACCUAGGCGACGAUCCCUAGCGUGUCUGAGAGGAUGACCAGCCACACUGGGACUGAGACACGGUCCAGACUCCUACGGGAGGCAGCAGUGGGGAAUAUUGCACAAUGGGCGCAAGCCUGAUGCAGCCAUGCCGCGUGUAUGAAGAAGGCCUUCGGGUUGUAAAGUACUUUCAGCGGGGAGGAAGGCGAUGGAGUUAAUAGCUUCAUCGAUUGACGUUACCCGCAGAAGAAGCACCGGCUAACUCCGUGCCAGCAGCCGCGGUAAU
RNAcentral lists this ribosomal RNA (492 nucleotides) under uncultured bacterium. Its description in RNAcentral is "bacterial SSU rRNA". It matches the Rfam family "Bacterial small subunit ribosomal RNA", at positions 43 to 524 of the family's 1533-position model. The record is from RNAcentral.